GAAUUCGCCCUUAGAGUUUGAUCCUGGCUCAGGACGAACGCUGGCGGCGCGCCUAACACAUGCAAGUCGAACGGAGCUUAGAGAGCUUGCUUUUUAAGCUUAGUGGCGAACGGGUGAGUAACGCGUGAGUAACCUGCCCUAGAGCGGGGGACAACAGUUGGAAACGACUGCUAAUACCGCAUAAGCCCACGGUACCGCAUGGUACUGAGGGAAAAGGAUUUAUUCGCUUUAGGAUGGACUCGCGUCCAAUUAGCUAGUUGGUGAGGUAACGGCCCACCAAGGAGACGAUUGGUAGCCGGACUGAGAGGUUGAACGGCCACAUUGGGACUGAGACACGGCCCAGACUCCUACGGGAGGCAGCAGUGGGGGAUAUUGCACAAUGGGGGAAACCCUGAUGCAGCGACGCCGCGUGGAGGAAGAAGGUUUUCGGAUUGUAAACUCCUGUCGUUAGGGACGAUAAUGACGGUACCUAACAAGAAAGCACCGGCUAACUACGUGCCAGCAGCCGCGGUAAAACGUAGGGUGCAAGCGUUGUCCGGAAUUACUGGGUGUAAAGGGAGCGCAGGCGGGAAGACAAGUUGGAAGUGAAAACCAUGGGCUCAACCCAUGAAUUGCUUUCAAAACUGUUUUUCUUGAGUAGUGCAGAGGUAGAUGGAAUUCCCGGUGUAGCGGUGGAAUGCGUAGAUAUCGGGAGGAACACCAGUGGCGAAGGCGGUCUACUGGGCACCAACUGACGCUGAGGCUCGAAAGCAUGGGUAGCAAACAGGAUUAGAUACCCUGGUAGUCCAUGCCGUAAACGAUGAUUACAAGGUGUU
Molecule: ribosomal RNA, 815 nt
Filed under: uncultured bacterium
Lineage: Bacteria
Description: bacterial SSU rRNA
Rfam family: Bacterial small subunit ribosomal RNA
Source: RNAcentral